RNAcentral lists this ribosomal RNA (465 nucleotides) under uncultured bacterium. RNAcentral's name for it is "partial 16S ribosomal RNA". It matches the Rfam family "Bacterial small subunit ribosomal RNA", at positions 338 to 795 of the family's 1533-position model. The record is from RNAcentral.
CCUACGGGAGGCAGCAGUAGGGAAUUUUCCACAAUGGGCGAAAGCCUGAUGGAGCAACGCCGCGUGGGUGAAGAAGGUCUUCGGAUCGUAAAACCCUGUUGUUAGAGAAGAAAGUGCGUGAGAGUAACUGUUCACGUUUCGACGGUAUCUAACCAGAAAGCCACGGCUAACUACGUGCCAGCAGCCGCGGUAAUACGUAGGUGGCAAGCGUUAUCCGGAUUUAUUUGGCGUAAAGGGAACGCAGGCGGUCUUUUAAGUCUGAUGUGAAAGCCUUCGGCUUAACCGGAGUAGUGCAUUGGAAACUGGGAGACUUGAGUGCAGAAGAGGAGAGUGGAACUCCAUGUGUAGCGGUGAAAUGCGUAGAUAUAUGGAAGAACACCAGUGGCGAAAGCGGCUCUCUGGUCUGUAACUGACGCUGAGGUUCGAAAGCGUGGGUAGCAAACAGGAUUAGAUACCCUGGUAGUC